RNAcentral lists this small nucleolar RNA (96 nucleotides) under Marchantia polymorpha subsp. ruderalis. Its description in RNAcentral is "Small nucleolar RNA snoR31/Z110/Z27". It matches the Rfam family "Small nucleolar RNA snoR31/Z110/Z27". From Rfam's summary of the family: This family contains several related snoRNAs including R31, Z27 and Z110. Family members belong to the C/D class of snoRNAs which contain the C (UGAUGA) and D (CUGA) box motifs. Most of the members of the box C/D family function in directing site-specific 2'-O-methylation of substrate RNAs. Lineage: Eukaryota; Viridiplantae; Streptophyta; Marchantiopsida; Marchantiales; Marchantiaceae. The record is from Rfam by way of RNAcentral.
GAUAUCGGAUGAUGAUUAAAUCAACGCAAUCUUAGGACACCUUCCUACACAGCUUCAAACACUGUGGAUGAGAGUGAAUGUUAAUCUGACGAUACU